RNAcentral lists this long non-coding RNA (543 nucleotides) under Pan troglodytes (chimpanzee). Its description in RNAcentral is "lincRNA". The record is from RNAcentral. Lineage: Eukaryota; Metazoa; Chordata; Mammalia; Primates; Hominidae.
AUGCUCUGAAUCAGCCUCCAAUACAUGAUACUGUUUCUCCCAUAGCCAGGACUUACAGGUCCAGUAAUCGAGGGGUGGAAGUGGAAGCGGCACCACUCACUAUCACCCCUAGUGAUCUACUAGCAAAAUUUUUGCUUCCUGUUCCCAUGACAUUACAUUCUGCUGGCUUAGAGGUCUUAGUUCCAGAAGGAGGAGUGCUGCCACCAGGAGACACAACAACAAUGCCAUAAAACUAGAAGUUAAGAUUGCCAUCUGGACACUUUGGGCUCCUCCUACCUUUAAGUCAACAGGCUAAGAAGAGUGUUACAGUGUUGGCUGGGGUGACUGGCCCAGACUAUCAAGAUGAAAUCAGUCUACUACUCCACAAUGGAGUUGCUGAAUGAUAAGCAAUAAUGGAAGGAAACUGUGAAAAUCACACUAGAGUGUCAAUGAAAAUCAUCUACAGUUGAUGGUAUCUAAAAGCGAUAUGACACUUCUGAAGUGGCCUUGUGACAUCAUCUCUGAAUAGAGAAGUUGAAUGAAAUAAGUUUGCAAGCACAUUCU